RNAcentral lists this ribosomal RNA (207 nucleotides) under Helicobacter pylori. RNAcentral's name for it is "partial 23S ribosomal RNA". It matches the Rfam family "Bacterial large subunit ribosomal RNA", at positions 1904 to 2110 of the family's 2925-position model. Lineage: Bacteria; Pseudomonadati; Campylobacterota; Epsilonproteobacteria; Campylobacterales; Helicobacteraceae. The record is from RNAcentral.
GCGUUGAAUUGAAGCCCGAGUAAACGGCGGCCGUAACUAUAACGGUCCUAAGGUAGCGAAAUUCCUUGUCGGUUAAAUACCGACCUGCAUGAAUGGCGUAACGAGAUGGGAGCUGUCUCAACCAGAGAUUCAGUGAAAUUGUAGUGGAGGUGAAAAUUCCUCCUACCCGCGGCAAGACGGAAAGACCCCGUGGACCUUUACUACAAC